GAUGAACGCUGGCGGCGUGCUUAACACAUGCAAGUCGAACGAGAAAUGUAGACGGAAACCUUCGGGCGGAAGCCUUCAUUUCGAGUGGCGGACGGGUGAGUAACUCGUGGGUAACCUGCCUCAUACAGGGGGAUAACAGUUGGAAACGACUGUUAAUACCGCAUCAGACCACAGCAUCGCAUGAUGCGGGGGUAAAAACUCCGGUGGUAUGAGAUGGACCCGCGUUCGAUUAGCCAGUUGGCAGGGUAACGGCCCACCAAAGCGACGAUCGAUAGCCGAGCUGAGAGGCUGACCGGCCACAUUGGGACUGAGACACGGCCCAAAAUCCUACGGGAGGCAGCAGUGGGGAAUAUUGCACAAUGGGGGAAAACCUGAUGCAGCGACGCCGGGUAAGUGAAGAAGUAGUUCGGUAUGUAAAGCUCUAUCAGAAGGGAAGAAAAUGACGGUACCUGAGUAAGAAGCCCCGGCUAACUACGUG
RNAcentral lists this ribosomal RNA (478 nucleotides) under uncultured bacterium. RNAcentral's name for it is "partial 16S ribosomal RNA". It matches the Rfam family "Bacterial small subunit ribosomal RNA", at positions 28 to 507 of the family's 1533-position model. The record is from RNAcentral.